UGACUGGUAGUAUUUGCUCCAGAGUCUGUGGGGAAAAAGCAAAGCUACAGAAUCAUAAAAUUUUGCUGGAAUCCAUGUAAUUAACUCCCAGAAUGGAGCCAGGGACUGGAGCUUGGCAGCGAGUUGAGCAAUGAACUGCAGGAAGGAGUUGCUGUGUGUCACUUCAGGGCAGACUUUUGUAAUUGUAAUUCUUAUUUACAAAGAGAGUUAUCAUGUUUUUCUCUGACUGUGCUAUUGCUGUUCUCAGGGAUUAAGAGACACCAAAACCCACCAACAUUUUGAUGUCUUGUUCAGAUAAAGAAGAAAGAACAUCUGUCCCUGGCAAAUCACAAAUAAUAGAGGAAAGUUGGUGAGGUGAUCAGGAGAGAUUUGAGUGAGAAGCAGGAAGCAACUGGCAGUUCACAAGAGCCCAAAAUCAGACUGAGUGUCACGUGGCACAAGGGCUGGGCACGUCCACGUGAGUUUCUCAUGACUCUGAACUUGCUGUGAUGAUAAAGUGUUGAUCUUGAUCAUAUCUGAGCUAUCUACAUCAACUCCUUCCCUGAGUGCUGAGCUCUCUGAACAAAUCCUGCAGCCAAGGGACAGAAAAAGGAUGUUUUCAAACUCGUUUUGGGGAGGAUCCUUCUCACCCAGCACUGCAAACUGUGGACAAGGUCACACUCACCAACUUUUUUGUCUUCAGAGGAGCCUGGACUUCAUCCCACUGCUGGAGGAGGAGGAAGCUGUGAGUAUCCAAUUAGUUUGCAUGGAGUGGGAAGUGACAACAAUAAUUCCCCUCAAGAGCACUUCACAUCUGGUUUUUUUCUAACUCCAAGCUACGUAAAAUAUUAAUUUUUAUUGCCAUUUUAUUCCAUGUAAGACACAGACGAGGUUAUACAACAUUCUACUUAUUUCUCACACCACAGCAACAAUAAUUUACAUUGAGAGCUGUAAAUUAUGAGACCAUUGGCAAUAGCAGGGAGUAAAUGCUUCCUAAAAUGCUUUAAUAGGAGAGCUGGUUCCUAUAUGUGUGUUCCUUGUAACUCAGUUCAGUCUAAACUGGUAGUUAAUUGGGUUGUCAUAUUUAUAGGGUGAGUAUUCAAACAUGUCUAAACUUCACAAACCCUUCUGUAACGAGAGAAAGACAAUGUUAGAGCCAAAUCAACCCCAAACUUUUAAGCCUGUCUGCACAGCAAGCUCAAUAAGCACUUUUGCAGAUCUGCCUGAAACCUGUGCCAUUGCAAUGCCAUUAUUCUCUUUAUCAGCGUGUAGGUAAGUCCUAGGACUGGUGGAAAACCCAAAAAUAUGAAGUUUGUUUAAUAAAACCUCUUAAAAUGGGUGGCAUGAAACCGAAUUAUUUCAACUGGAAUAUAUACACUGGGGAAAAGCGAGAUCUUGAAUAUUCACAUUACAGCUCAUUGAAAAGGCAAUGGGCUAUGCAACAAGAUUGACAACAAAGGGAAAAAUGAUGAGGAAAAUUGCCUUACUUAUCUGCUAGAGUGCUCUUGACUGCCAACUGUAAUUUUAUGGUUCAUUAUAUAAAAAAAUACCAUUAAUGUUAGUACUUGUGUAUCAUAAUCACGAGAAGAAGGGAAAAAGUUCAUUGAAAUGUGCUCCAUUUUUAAUCAAGACACUAUAAUUGUGUGUUUUUCAGGCAUCAUCAAUUUCCAUCAAUUUUACUACUGCAAAAAUAAUGUGCUGCUCCAGUUCUUCCACAGGUCAAUGCCUGCGUGAGGUACAUUGACUGCAGGAUGCAAACUGUAAAUAAACAGUGGCAUAAUUUAUCUUCUCUGAUAUUACUUGAUUCAUCCCAAGCUUUAAGUUGAUAAGGGGAGAAAAUGGGCCGGCUGGGUUUGAAUUGUGUGGUGCAUCACAUAACUUAGAAAUGGCAGGAACUUUUGUUAUAUAAAUGUUGUUAUAUAAAAUGUCAGGCAACAGCCAAUAUUAGCAGUGCAGAGCCAGUAUCACGCAGCAAAUGUGUCUGUCAGCUUAUCUGUGUGCUUUCAGGAGCUGGGAAAAUCACAGAGCAGAUAAAAUUGUCUGAAACAAUGGCAGGGGCUGCACUGAGAAGUGUCACAAGCCUGGUGGAUUGGCCACCUCAAGGUAACUCUCUGAGCACCAGAGAAUCUGAGGAGAAAGGGGGACAAAGGUGUUGGUAAUUCAGGUGCUCCGUGUCUUUUGUUGAAAAUGGGGCACAAGGAAUUUUAGUGGCAUGUUUGGGUGCCCAGCAAGUUUUGUGCAGAACGAGUUUUCUGAGUUAAUGUUGGUGUUAUUCCAGUGGGAUGUUGGGGAACAAGUUCACAGCAGAGCUCAGUCCUGGUGCAACCCUGGAGAACAGCAGAGUCCCUUUCCCAAGGGCUUCCUUCUUGACAAAAGAGAGAUGAUUCCCAGAUGAUGCAUUCCUACUUAAGGGAUGCUCAGAUUUUAUUCCACAAAUCCAUGGUUGAGACUGACCUUGAGGAAGAGCUUCUCCUUUCUCCUGGGAAUGUGCUCUGGGUUUUGAAGCCUGGGAAAGUAUGAAUUAUUCCAAAGCACAGAGUGCUGCAGUGUGUGUGUCUGUGUUUGUUGCUCCAGGAACUUCAACACAGCUUCUCCCCUGUGCCUGGCUCGGAGGGACUGGCUCUCUGGUUGCCCAUAUUUUGCUUUUCAAGAGGAAUUUGGCUUGAUCAGGUCUCACAGCGCUGUCUGAGAUGAUUUUGGAUCACCAAAUAAUAUGGAUUGCAAGGUCAGAUCAAAAUCUUUGCUACUGAAGUUUAACAGUUAGUUUGGAAUAUUAAGCAUGGAGAUGUCAUGGUAAUUGAGCAAAUAUUAGAUGUUUUAUGUAGCCUGUGCCACAGGAAAGCCUGAAAACAGUGUCUGCUGCUCCAUCUAAUAACUGGGGAAAAGGAGGGAACAUUCAUCAUG
Pseudopipra pipra is the source of this 2883-nucleotide long non-coding RNA. RefSeq lists it as uncharacterized. The transcript is spliced from 3 exons. NCBI's taxonomy places the organism in Eukaryota, Metazoa, Chordata, Aves, Passeriformes, Pipridae. The record is from RefSeq and is a predicted model, not a curated record.